AUUGAACGCUGGCGGCAGGCCUAACACAUGCAAGUCGGACGGUAGCACAGGGGAGCUUGCUCCCCGGGUGACGAGUGGCGGACGGGUGAGUAAUGUCUGGGAAACUGCCUGAUGGAGGGGGAUAACUACUGGAAACGGUAGCUAAUACCGCAUCACGUCGCAAGACCAAAGAGGAGGACCUUCGGGCCUCUUGCCAUCAGACGUGCCCAGAUGGGAUUAGCUAGUAGGUGGGGUAACGGCUCACCGAGGCGACGAUCCCUAGCUGGUCUGAGAGGAUGAACAGCCACACUGGAACUGAGACACGGUCCAGACUCCUACGGGAGGCAGCAGUGGGGAAUAUUGCACAAUGGGCGCAAGCCUGAUGCAGCCAUGCCGCGUGUAUGAAGAAGGCCUUCGGGUUGUAAAGUACUUUCAGCGGGGAGGAAGGUGUUGUGGUUAAUAACCACAGCAAUUGACGUUACCCGCAGAAGAAGCACCGGCUAACUCCGUGCCAGCAGCCGCGGUAA
RNAcentral lists this ribosomal RNA (506 nucleotides) under uncultured bacterium. RNAcentral's name for it is "partial 16S ribosomal RNA". It matches the Rfam family "Bacterial small subunit ribosomal RNA", at positions 29 to 523 of the family's 1533-position model. The record is from RNAcentral.